Non-coding RNA from Triticum aestivum (bread wheat), 121 nucleotides. NCBI's taxonomy places the organism in Eukaryota, Viridiplantae, Streptophyta, Magnoliopsida, Poales, Poaceae. The record is from Rfam.
CAAGUACUCCCUCCGUUCCGAAUUACUUGUCUUAGAUUUGUCUAAAUACGGAUGUAUCUAGCACUAAAAUGAGUCUAGAUACAGAUCAAAGACAAGUAAUUUAGAAUGGAGGGAGUAAUUC